This 253-nucleotide unclassified non-coding RNA is filed under the name uncultured fungus. Its description in RNAcentral is "sequence contains ITS1, 5.8S rRNA gene". The stretch from base 205 to 253 matches the Rfam family "5.8S ribosomal RNA", at positions 1 to 49 of the family's 154-position model. Lineage: Eukaryota; Fungi. The record is from RNAcentral.
UCUCCGUUGGUGAACCAGCGGAGGGAUCAUUACUGAGUUUACGCUCUACAACCCUUUGUGAACAUACCUAUAACUGUUGCUUCGGCGGGUAGGGUCUCCGCGACCCUCCCGGCCUCCCGCUCCCGGGCGGGUCGGCGCCCGCCGGAGGAUAACCAAACUCUGAUUUAACGACGUUUCUUCUGAGUGGUACAAGCAAAUAAUCAAAACUUUUAACAACGGAUCUCUUGGUUCUGGCAUCGAUGAAGAACGCAGC